This 468-nucleotide ribosomal RNA is filed under the name uncultured bacterium. Its description in RNAcentral is "partial 16S ribosomal RNA". It matches the Rfam family "Bacterial small subunit ribosomal RNA", at positions 28 to 507 of the family's 1533-position model. The record is from RNAcentral.
GACGAACGCUGGCGGCGUGCUUAACACAUGCAAGUCGAACGGAAAGGCCCUGCUUUUGUGGGGUGCUCGAGUGGCGAACGGGUGAGUAACACGCGAGUAACCUGCCCUUGACUUUGGGAUAACUUCAGGAAACUGGGGCUAAUACCGUAUAGGAGCUCCUGCUGCAUGGUGGGGGUUGGAAAGUUUCGGCGGUUGGGGAUGGACUCGCGGCUUAUCAGCUUGUUGGUGGGGUAGUGGCUUACCAAGGCUUUGACGGGUAGCCGGCCUGAGAGGGUGACCGGCCACAUUGGGACUGAGAUACGGCCCAGACUCCUACGGGAGGCAGCAGUGGGGAAUAUUGCACAAUGGGCGGAAGCCUGAUGAAGCAACGCCGCGUGCGGGAUGACGGCCUUCGGGCUGUAAACCGCUUUCGCCUGUGACGAAGCGUGAGUGACGGUAAUGGGUAAAGAAGCACCGGCUAACUACGUG